This 398-nucleotide long non-coding RNA is filed under the name Elaeis guineensis (African oil palm). RNAcentral's name for it is "long non-coding RNA (EGUI_LNC078638)". The record is from RNAcentral. Lineage: Eukaryota; Viridiplantae; Streptophyta; Magnoliopsida; Arecales; Arecaceae.
AAAAAAUAAAUAUUCAUCCAAAUAUAAGUUAUUUUAUAAUAAAUUACAUUUUCAUGACCUAUCAAAUAUACCAAAAUUUUAUUUUUCAAAAAUUAUUUUCUAAAAAAAAAAAAAUUACACAUACCAAAUAUAUCCAAAAUAAAACGAGAUGCUUGCAUGAUGCACCAUCAUAUCAUAUAGGAUAUAAUUUCUCCCCUCCUAAAACUUCAAACCAAUUGCCAUCCUGAAUAGAAUAGAUCCGCUUCCUUCCUCUUCCUCUUUCUAGCUUGUUGUCCCUUUUAGUUCCUCCUCUAUCUUCCUUCCUUGCUAGUUGGGGUAUAUCCUUGAGAAUAUGAAACCUUUAUUCAUCUUAUUCUCCAAAACUAAAAUGUUCCUAUUAUACACUGAUUUUGUUUGUU